RNAcentral lists this ribosomal RNA (748 nucleotides) under Bacillus cereus. Its description in RNAcentral is "bacterial SSU rRNA". It matches the Rfam family "Bacterial small subunit ribosomal RNA", at positions 37 to 752 of the family's 1533-position model. The record is from RNAcentral. Lineage: Bacteria; Bacillati; Bacillota; Bacilli; Caryophanales; Bacillaceae.
UUGCGGCUUGCCUUAUACUUGCAAGNUCGAGCGAAUGGNAUUAAGAGCUUGCUCUUAUGAAGUUAGCGGACGGACGGGUGAGUAACACGUGGUGUAACCUGCCCAUAAGACUGGGAUAACUCCGGGAAACCGGGGCUAAUACCGGAUAACAUUUUGAACCGCAUGGUUCGAAAUUGAAAGGCGGCUUCGGCUGUCACUUAUGGAUGGACCCGCGUCGCAUUAGCUAGUUGGUGAGGUAACGGCUCACCAAGGCNNCGAUGCGUAGCCGACCUGAGAGGGUGAUCGGCCACACUGGGACUGAGACACGGCCCAGACUCCUACGGGAGGCAGCAGUAGGGAAUCUUCCGCAAUGGACGAAAGUCUGACGGAGCAACGCCGCGUGAGUGAUGAAGGCUUUCGGGUCGUAAAACUCUGUUGUUAGGGAAGAACAAGUGCUAGUUGAAUAAGCUGGCACCUUGACGGUACCUAACCAGAAAGCCACGGCUAACUACGUGCCAGCAGCCGCGGUAAUACGUAGGUGGCAAGCGUUAUCCGGAAUUAUUGGGCGUAAAGCGCGCGCAGGUGGUUUCUUAAGUCUGAUGUGAAAGCCCACGGCUCAACCGUGGAGGGUCAUUGGAAACUGGGAGACUUGAGUGCAGAAGAGGGAAAGUGGAAUUNCCAUGUGUAGCGGNGAAAUGCCGUNAUAGAUAUGGGAGGAACACCNAGUGNCGAANGCGACUUUUCUGGUCUGUAAACUGACACUUGAGGC